Molecule: ribosomal RNA, 482 nt
Filed under: uncultured bacterium
Lineage: Bacteria
Description: partial 16S ribosomal RNA
Rfam family: Bacterial small subunit ribosomal RNA
Source: RNAcentral
AUUGAACGCUGGCGGCAUGCCUUACACAUGCAAAUCGAACGGUAACGGGCCUUCGGGUGCCGACGAGUGGCGAACGGGUGAGUAAUACAUCGGAAAGUGCCCGAUCGUGGGGGAUAACGAGGCGAAAGCUUUGCUAAUACCGCAUACGAUCUACGGAUGAAAGCAGGGGACCGCAAGGCCUUGCGCGGACGGAGCGGCCGAUGGCAGAUUAGGUAGUUGGUGGGAUAAAAGCUUACCAAGCCGACGAUCUGUAGCUGGUCUGAGAGGAUGAUCAGCCACACUGGGACUGAGACACGGCCCAGACUCCUACGGGAGGCAGCAGUGGGGAAUUUUGGACAAUGGGCGCAAGCCUGAUCCAGCCAUGCCGCGUGCAGGAUGAAGGCCUUCGGGUUGUAAACUGAUUUUGUACGGAACGAAAAGCCUUCUUUUAAUACAGGAGGGUCAUGACGGUACCGUAAGAAUAAGCACCGGCUAACUACGUG